This 25-nucleotide non-coding RNA is filed under the name Rattus norvegicus (Norway rat). The record is from RNAcentral. Lineage: Eukaryota; Metazoa; Chordata; Mammalia; Rodentia; Muridae.
UGAAAAUCACAUGGUGGCUCGCAAC